CAUGCCCUUAGCUGGGUCAGU
Molecule: small nuclear RNA, 21 nt
Filed under: Arabidopsis thaliana (thale cress)
Lineage: Eukaryota; Viridiplantae; Streptophyta; Magnoliopsida; Brassicales; Brassicaceae
Description: snRNA_13252
Source: RNAcentral